AGGACCAAGAACGCCGGACUCCCCUCCAUGCUGCUGCCUACAUCGGAGAUGUUGCAAUCCUCGAGCUCCUCAUCCUGUCAGGUGCUAAUGUGAACGCGAAGGACACGGUGUGGCUCACGCCGCUGCACCGCGCCGCGGCCUCUCGCCACGAGAAAGCUCUCCACCUGCUCCUGAAGCACUCGGCCGAUGUCAACGCCCGCGACAAGCACUGGCAGACGCCGCUGCACGUGGCCGCAGCCAACCGGGCCACCAAGUGCGUGGAGGCCCUGGUGCCCCUGCUGAGCACCGUCAACGUGGCCGACCGCACCGGGCGCACGGCGCUGCACCACGCCGUGCACAGCGGCCACCUCGAGGUGCACCGGGAGCGUGGGG
Molecule: non-coding RNA, 372 nt
Organism: Cyanistes caeruleus (blue tit)
Lineage: Eukaryota; Metazoa; Chordata; Aves; Passeriformes; Paridae
Source: RefSeq, a predicted model, not a curated record